GCACUGUUUAAACACACAGGUUUGCUGCCUUGCAAUGGCUCUCAGAGCACUUCUGUGCCCUCCGCUCCUGACUAUGGAUUGGUGGAACCCACAGCCACAAUCCCAAUCCUCAGCUCAGAGACUCUCUUGAAACUCUGGACUCUGAUGGGGUAAUUACCACCAAAAUAAUGACCUGGUGCUGACGCACUCCAGUUGUCUGGACGGGGGGAGAGGAUAAAGACGACUAAGAUGGCGCAUUUCCGGGUUCUUCAUCACCAACUUACCCGCGCGCGGGAAAAUGCAGCCCACGCCCGGGAAAAAUACAAACCAACUGCGCAGGCGCAACAUGGCGUCCAAUCAAGGAAACCAAAACUUACCUGGCCGCACCUAAAAAACGCCCCCAACACGCCCGUGUCCCGUCUAUUGCCCUCCCACUCCCAAGCCUUAAACAAAAAAGUCGAUCCCGGCAGGCGCGCGGCGCGAACUUCCUCGGCCCCUCCUCAUAUGCGAACCUAGAAACCUGGCCCAAAAACGCCGGAGCAACUUCCUCGGCCUCCACCGCCGGAAACCGUUCCCCAUAGAGCAUCUAGUCCAGCGCUUGGAAAUGCCCAUGACUUCAGAGGCCAGUAAAGAGACAGCAAGGAGUCAAGAUUCUCUGCUGAAGAGAAACGAAAAUACCUUUCUGUGGUCAAAGGAGAAGAGUCAUUCCUGAGGAAAACUGUGAAAACGGAAUGUAAAAAGGAAAGAGAAGAAAAAGUCACACUGCAGCUCUACACUGAACAGUUUGCUUUCAUCUUUUGGGAAAUUUAUUUCCAUCUCCCAAAAAAGAGAGCUGCAAAUAAUGAUUCUCCUGAUGUAACCAUCCCAGUUGGAUCAUGUUAAAAAGCUUUUAGGAGGAAAGCACCAAGUUGAAUAGUUGCCACAGAGACUUCAUGGCCUGCAAAAUCUAAAAUAUUUACUAUCUGGCCUUUCACAGAAAAAGUUUCCUUCCUUCUGAUGUAGACCAAUGGCUCCCAUUGUUUCAGUGCAUCAGAAUCACCUACAGGCUUUGGGGGUUUUCUU
Molecule: non-coding RNA, 1041 nt
Organism: Macaca mulatta (Rhesus monkey)
Lineage: Eukaryota; Metazoa; Chordata; Mammalia; Primates; Cercopithecidae
Source: RefSeq, a predicted model, not a curated record